UCUAUUAUUGAUUUCUUAUUUAAUUUUGGUAUAGCCAGAGAACACCAUUUACGUGGAUGAUCUCGGCUCACCACAACCUCUGCCUCCUGGGUUCAAGCGGUUCUCCUGCCUCAGCCUCCCAAGUAGCUGGGAUUACAGGCAUGUGCCACCAUGCACGGCUAGUUUUGUAUUUUUAGUAGAGAUGGGGUUUCACCAUGUUGGUCAGGCUGGUCUUGAACUCCCGACCUGAGGUGAUCCACUGCCUCAGCCGCCUAAAGUGCUGGGAUUACAAGUGUGAGCCACCACGCCCAGCCUUGUGUGGUUUUAAUUUAUUAAAAAUUGUUAAAGUUUACUUUAUGACCCAGAAUAUGAUCUAUCUGGGUAUAUGUUCUGUGGGCACUUGGAAAGAGUAUGUAUUCUGUUGCUCUUGAGUAGAGUGUUUUAUAAAUGUCCGUUAUAUUAAACCAGUUGAUAAUGUUAUCCACGUUUUAUAUAUCCUUUUUGAUUUCCAUCUAUUUGUUUAUCAGUUAUUGAGAACAGAGUUAUUGAAGUCUCCCAGUUAUGACUGUGGAUUUUUCCAUGUCUCUUUUAGUUCUAUCAAUUUUUGCUUCAUUUAUUUUGGAUCUUUGUUAGUUGCAUACUAUAUUUCAGUGUUUAUCUUCUUGGUGAAUUGACCCUUUUAUCAUUAUGUAACUUCCCUAUAUUUAUAUCUUUAUAUUUAAAAUAGGUUUCCUUAAACCAUAAGACAUUUGAGAAGUAAAAAUAAAAUAAAAUAGCUUUCUUGCUGAUAGCAUAUAGUCGGGUCUUGUUUUUUUCUUUUUCCAAUCCGAUAAUCUUUGUCUUUUUUUUUUUUUUUUUUUUGGAAAUGGAAUCUUGCUCUACCACCUGGGCUGGAAUGCAAUGACGUGAUCUCGGCUCACUGCAGCCUCCACCUCCCAGGUUCAAGCGAUUCUCCUGCCUCAGCCUCCCGAGUAGCUGGGAUUAUAGGCACCCGCCACCAUGCCCAGCUAAUUUUUGUAUUGUUAGUAGAGACGGGGUUUCACCAUGUUGGUCAGGCUGGGGGAGUUUUCUAUUAUUUAUUUCUUGUUUAAUUUUGGUAUAGCCAGAGAACAUGCUUUAUGUGGUUUUAUUAAAAAUUGUUAGUUUAUUUUAUGACCCAGAAUAUGAUCUAUCUGGGUAUAUGUUCUGUGGGCACUUGGAAAGAAUAUGUAUUCUGUUGUUCUUGGGUAGAGUGUUUUUUGUAAAUGUCCAUUAUAUUACACCAGUUGAUAACGUUAUCCAGGUUUGAUAUAUCCUUUUUGAUUUCCAUCUAUUUGUUUAUCAGUUAUUGAGAAUGGACUUAUUGAGUCUCCCAGUUAUGACUGUGGAUUUUUCCAUAUCUCUUUUAGUUCUAUCAAUUUUUGCUUCAUUUAUUUUGGAUCUUUGUUAGUUGCAUAUUAUAUUUCAGUGUUUAUCUUCUUGGUGAAUUGACCCUUUUAUCAUUAUGUAAUUUCCCUAUAUUUAUAUCUUUAUAUUUAAAAUAGGUUUCCUUAACAUUUGAGAAGUAAAAAUAAAAUAAAAUAUAAUAGC
This 1548-nucleotide small RNA is filed under the name Pan troglodytes (chimpanzee). RNAcentral's name for it is "processed transcript". The record is from RNAcentral. Lineage: Eukaryota; Metazoa; Chordata; Mammalia; Primates; Hominidae.